RNAcentral lists this unclassified non-coding RNA (383 nucleotides) under uncultured fungus. Its description in RNAcentral is "sequence contains ITS1". The stretch from base 1 to 106 matches the Rfam family "5.8S ribosomal RNA", at positions 50 to 154 of the family's 154-position model. The record is from RNAcentral. Lineage: Eukaryota; Fungi.
GAAAUGCGAUACGUGGUGUGAAUUGCAGAAUCCCGUGAACCAUCGAGUCUUUGAACGCAAGUUGCGCCCGAGGGACCCUCCCGAGGGCACGCCUGCCUCAUGGGCGUUAGAAGCCCAUCCACGCUCGGUUUGCCUAACUAACUAACGGCAAAAGAUGCGGACAUUGGCCCUCCGAACCGUAAGGCGCGGUGGGCCUAAGUGUGCGGCCGUCGUACGUGGCCGGGAGCGGCGAGUGGUGGGCUACUGCGCACGUCACCCCGAGCCCCGUACCGACGCAGGGCCUUGUUGGAAACCCCUAACGAGGAGCACGCCGCUGCGGCUUCCGCUGCGCGGUGCCUUCGGACCGAUACCCCAGGUCAGGCGGGGCUACCCGCCGAGUUUAA